Molecule: antisense RNA, 187 nt
Filed under: Peridinium foliaceum
Lineage: Eukaryota; Dinophyceae; Peridiniales; Peridiniaceae
Description: Antisense RNA which regulates isiA expression
Rfam family: Antisense RNA which regulates isiA expression
Source: Rfam by way of RNAcentral
CGUAACCAAAAAUUACAAUUGGGUUUAAUGUUGGUGUUGUAAUAAAACGAACAUCACCACCACCAGGUGCCCAUGUAUCAUAUACACCACCUAAAUACAUUGCUUUGAUAACUAAUAAGAAAGCACCACAACCUAAAAGACAUAAGUGAAUACCUAAGAUUGUUGUCAUCUUAUUUUUAUCACGCCA